Molecule: non-coding RNA, 75 nt
Organism: Podarcis lilfordi (Lilford's wall lizard)
Lineage: Eukaryota; Metazoa; Chordata; Lepidosauria; Squamata; Lacertidae
Source: the annotation of a GenBank genome assembly
UGGAUAGCUGAGUUGGUAGAGCAUGAGACUCUUAAUAUCAGGGUUGCGGGUUUGAACCCCACGUCGCGUGAAAAA